AGCUCGAUGAGUAGGGCGGGACACGUGGUAUCCUGUCUGAAUAUGGGGGGACCAUCCUCCAAGGCUAAAUACUCCUGACUGACCGAUAGUGAACCAGUACCGUGAGGGAAAGGCGAAAAGAACCCCGGCGAGGGGAGUGAAAAAGAACCUGAAACCGUGUACGUACAAGCAGUGGGAGCCUCUUAAUGGGGUGACUGCGUACCUUUUGUAUAAUGGGUCAGCGACUUAUAUUCUGUAGCAAGGUUAACCGAAUAGGGGAGCCGAAGGGAAACCGAGUCUUAACUGGGCGUUAAGUUGCAGGGUAUAGACCCGAAACCCGGUGAUCUAGCCAUGGGCAGGUUGAAGGUUGGGUAACACUAACUGGAGGACCGAACCGACUAAUGUUGAAAAAUUAGCGGAUGACUUGUGGCUGGGGGUGAAAGGCCAAUCAAACCGGGAGAUAGCUGGUUCUCCCCGAAAGCUAUUUAGGUAGCGCCUCGUGAAUUCAUCUCCGGGGGUAGAGCACUGUUUCGGCAAGGGGGUCAUCCCGACUUACCAACCCGAUGCAAACUGCGAAUACCGGAGAAUGUUAUCACGGGAGACACACGGCGGGUGCUAACGUCCGUCGUGAAGAGGGAAACAACCCAGACCGCCAGCUAAGGUCCCAAAGUCAUGGUUAAGUGGGAAACGAUGUGGGAAGGCCCAGACAGCCAGGAUGUUGGCUUAGAAGCAGCCAUCAUUUAAAGAAAGCGUAAUAGCUCACUGGUCGAGUCGGCCUGCGCGGAAGAUGUAACGGGGCUAAACCAUGCACCGAAGCUGCGGCAGCGACACUAUGUGUUGUUGGGUAGGGGAGCGUUCUGUAAGCCUGUGAAGGUGUACUGUGAGGUAUGCUGGAGGUAUCAGAAGUGCGAAUGCUGACAUAAGUAACGAUAAAGCGGGUGAAAAGCCCGCUCGCCGGAAGACCAAGGGUUCCUGUCCAACGUUAAUCGGGGCAGGGUGAGUCGACCCCUAAGGCGAGGCCGAAAGGCGUAGUCGAUGGGAAACAGGUUAAUAUUCCUGUACUUGGUGUUACUGCGAAGGGGGGACGGAGAAGGCUAUGUUGGCCGGGCGACGGUUGUCCCGGUUUAAGCGUGUAGGCUGGUUUUCCAGGCAAAUCCGGAAAAUCAAGGCUGAGGCGUGAUGACGAGGCACUACGGUGCUGAAGCGACAAAUGCCCUGCUUCCAGGAAAAGCCUCUAAGCAUCAGGUAACAUCAAAUCGUACCCCAAACCGACACAGGUGGUCAGGUAGAGAAUACCAAGGCGCUUGAGAGAACUCGGGUGAAGGAACUAGGCAAAAUGGUGCCGUAACUUCGGGAGAAGGCACGCUGAUAUGUAGGUGAAGCGACUUGCUCGUGGAGCUGAAAUCAGUCGAAGAUACCAGCUGGCUGCAACUGUUUAUUAAAAACACAGCACUGUGCAAACACGAAAGUGGACGUAUACGGUGUGACGCCUGCCCGGUGCCGGAAGGUUAAUUGAUGGGGUUAGCGGUAACGCGAAGCUCUUGAUCGAAGCCCCGGUAAACGGCGGCCGUAACUAUAACGGUCCUAAGGUAGCGAAAUUCCUUGUCGGGUAAGUUCCGACCUGCACGAAUGGCGUAAUGAUGGCCAGGCUGUCUCCACCCGAGACUCAGUGAAAUUGAACUCGCUGUGAAGAUGCAGUGUACCCGCGGCAAGACGGAAAGACCCCGUGAACCUUUACUAUAGCUUGACACUGAACAUUGAGCCUUGAUGUGUAGGAUAGGUGGGAGGCUUUGAAGUGUGGACGCCAGUCUGCAUGGAGCCGACCUUGAAAUACCACCCUUUAAUGUUUGAUGUUCUAACGUGGGCCCCUUACCGGGGUUGCGGACAGUGUCUGGUGGGUAGUUUGACUGGGGCGGUCUCCUCCUAAAGAGUAACGGAGGAGCACGAAGGUUGGCUAAUCCUGGUCGGACAUCAGGAGGUUAGUGCAAUGGCAUAAGCCAGCUUGACUGCGAGCGUGACGGCGCGAGCAGGUGCGAAAGCAGGUCAUAGUGAUCCGGUGGUUCUGAAUGGAAGGGCCAUCGCUCAACGGAUAAAAGGUACUCCGGGGAUAACAGGCUGAUACCGCCCAAGAGUUCAUAUCGACGGCGGUGUUUGGCACCUCGAUGUCGGCUCAUCACAUCCUGGGGCUGAAGUAGGUCCCAAGGGUAUGGCUGUUCGCCAUUUAAAGUGGUACGCGAGCUGGGUUUAGAACGUCGUGAGACAGUUCGGUCCCUAUCUGCCGUGGGCGCUGGAGAACUGAGGGGGGCUGCUCCUAGUACGAGAGGACCGGAGUGGACGCAUCACUGGUGUUCGGGUUGUCAUGCCAAUGGCACUGCCCGGUAGCUAAAUGCGGAAGAGAUAAGUGCUGAAAGCAUCUAAGCACGAAACUUGCCCCGAGAUGAGUUCUCCCUGACUCCUUGAGAGUCCUGAAGGAACGUUGAAGACGACGACGUUGAUAGGCCGGGUGUGUAAGCGCAGCGAUGCGUUGAGCUAACCGGUACUAAUGAACCGUGAGGCUUAACCUUACAACGCCGAAG
Molecule: ribosomal RNA, 2555 nt
Filed under: Escherichia coli
Lineage: Bacteria; Pseudomonadati; Pseudomonadota; Gammaproteobacteria; Enterobacterales; Enterobacteriaceae
Description: partial 23S ribosomal RNA
Rfam family: Bacterial large subunit ribosomal RNA
Source: RNAcentral